AAGUCGUAACAAGGUUUCCGUAGGUGAACCUGCGGAAGGAUCAUUACAAUACGUUUUACGUAUAAACCCAAACGGUUGAACUGUGAAAACGUCCGAUAGGAAAAGACGGGGUCAUGGCCGACGGCUUUGAGGUGGAUAUCACAAAAUAUCAAAACAACAAAAUAACCGCAAGGUUGUGUGUUUUUUGAGGUGAUACAAAAGUGCCUCGGUCGGUCGUUUUGUUUAGUUUCGCGACUAAACGAAAGCCCUUUUCCUAGUUCGCGUAUUUUAUCCAAUCAAUCACUUUUGUUUUAUCGCCCUUUUUUCCUAUUUUAACCCAUUUCACCUCUUCUAUCUAUUUACGAACUGAAUUCGAGAUGUUUGGGCUUCGAAACGAGCCUCAUCUUGGUGAUAUUACGAAACUUAAGAACAACUCUUAACAACGGAUAUCUUGGCUCUC
This 439-nucleotide unclassified non-coding RNA is filed under the name fungal sp. RNAcentral describes it as "partial internal transcribed spacer region". The stretch from base 1 to 46 matches the Rfam family "Eukaryotic small subunit ribosomal RNA", at positions 1786 to 1831 of the family's 1831-position model. Lineage: Eukaryota; Fungi. The record is from RNAcentral.